UUAAGCGACUAAGCGUACACGGUGGAUGCCCUGGCAGUCAGAGGCGAUGAAGGACGUGCUAAUCUGCGAUAAGCGUCGGUAAGGUGAUAUGAACCGUUAUAACCGGCGAUUUCCGAAUGGGGAAACCCAGUGUGAUUCGUCACACUAUCAUUAACUGAAUCCAUAGGUUAAUGAGGCGAACCGGGGGAACUGAAACAUCUAAGUACCCCGAGGAAAAGAAAUCAACCGAGAUUCCCCCAGUAGCGGCGAGCGAACGGGGAGGAGCCCAGAGCCUGAAUCAGUGUGUGUGUUAGUGGAAGCGUCUGGAAAGGCGCGCGAUACAGGGUGACAGCCCCGUACACAAAAAUGCACAUGCUGUGAGCUCGAUGAGUAGGGCGGGACACGUGGUAUCCUGUCUGAAUAUGGGGGGACCAUCCUCCAAGGCUAAAUACUCCUGACUGACCGAUAGUGAACCAGUACCGUGAGGGAAAGGCGAAAAGAACCCCGGCGAGGGGAGUGAAAAAGAACCUGAAACCGUGUACGUACAAGCAGUGGGAGCCUCUUUAUGGGGUGACUGCGUACCUUUUGUAUAAUGGGUCAGCGACUUAUAUUCUGUAGCAAGGUUAACCGAAUAGGGGAGCCGAAGGGAAACCGAGUCUUAACUGGGCGUUAAGUUGCAGGGUAUAGACCCGAAACCCGGUGAUCUAGCCAUGGGCAGGUUGAAGGUUGGGUAACACUAACUGGAGGACCGAACCGACUAAUGUUGAAAAAUUAGCGGAUGACUUGUGGCUGGGGGUGAAAGGCCAAUCAAACCGGGAGAUAGCUGGUUCUCCCCGAAAGCUAUUUAGGUAGCGCCUCGUGAAUUCAUCUCCGGGGGUAGAGCACUGUUUCGGCAAGGGGGUCAUCCCGACUUACCAACCCGAUGCAAACUGCGAAUACCGGAGAAUGUUAUCACGGGAGACACACGGCGGGUGCUAACGUCCGUCGUGAAGAGGGAAACAACCCAGACCGCCAGCUAAGGUCCCAAAGUCAUGGUUAAGUGGGAAACGAUGUGGGAAGGCCCAGACAGCCAGGAUGUUGGCUUAGAAGCAGCCAUCAUUUAAAGAAAGCGUAAUAGCUCACUGGUCGAGUCGGCCUGCGCGGAAGAUGUAACGGGGCUAAACCAUGCACCGAAGCUGCGGCAGCGACACUAUGUGUUGUUGGGUAGGGGAGCGUUCUGUAAGCCUGUGAAGGUGUGCUGUGAGGCAUGCUGGAGGUAUCAGAAGUGCGAAUGCUGACAUAAGUAACGAUAAAGCGGGUGAAAAGCCCGCUCGCCGGAAGACCAAGGGUUCCUGUCCAACGUUAAUCGGGGCAGGGUGAGUCGACCCCUAAGGCGAGGCCGAAAGGCGUAGUCGAUGGGAAACAGGUUAAUAUUCCUGUACUUGGUGUUACUGCGAAGGGGGGACGGAGAAGGCUAUGUUGGCCGGGCGACGGUUGUCCCGGUUUAAGCGUGUAGGCUGGUUUUCCAGGCAAAUCCGGAAAAUCAAGGCUGAGGCGUGAUGACGAGGCACUACGGUGCUGAAGCAACAAAUGCCCUGCUUCCAGGAAAAGCCUCUAAGCAUCAGGUAACAUCAAAUCGUACCCCAAACCGACACAGGUGGUCAGGUAGAGAAUACCAAGGCGCUUGAGAGAACUCGGGUGAAGGAACUAGGCAAAAUGGUGCCGUAACUUCGGGAGAAGGCACGCUGAUAUGUAGGUGAAGUCCCUCGCGGAUGGAGCUGAAAUCAGUCGAAGAUACCAGCUGGCUGCAACUGUUUAUUAAAAACACAGCACUGUGCAAACACGAAAGUGGACGUAUACGGUGUGACGCCUGCCCGGUGCCGGAAGGUUAAUUGAUGGGGUCAGCGCAAGCGAAGCUCUUGAUCGAAGCCCCGGUAAACGGCGGCCGUAACUAUAACGGUCCUAAGGUAGCGAAAUUCCUUGUCGGGUAAGUUCCGACCUGCACGAAUGGCGUAAUGAUGGCCAGGCUGUCUCCACCCGAGACUCAGUGAAAUUGAACUCGCUGUGAAGAUGCAGUGUACCCGCGGCAAGACGGAAAGACCCCGUGAACCUUUACUAUAGCUUGACACUGAACAUUGAGCCUUGAUGUGUAGGAUAGGUGGGAGGCUUAGAAGUGUGGACGCCAGUCUGCAUGGAGCCGACCUUGAAAUACCACCCUUUAAUGUUUGAUGUUCUAACGUUGACCCGUGAUCCGGGUUGCGGACAGUGUCUGGUGGGUAGUUUGACUGGGGCGGUCUCCUCCUAAAGAGUAACGGAGGAGCACGAAGGUUGGCUAAUCCUGGUCGGACAUCAGGAGGUUAGUGCAAUGGCAUAAGCCAGCUUGACUGCGAGCGUGACGGCGCGAGCAGGUGCGAAAGCAGGUCAUAGUGAUCCGGUGGUUCUGAAUGGAAGGGCCAUCGCUCAACGGAUAAAAGGUACUCCGGGGAUAACAGGCUGAUACCGCCCAAGAGUUCAUAUCGACGGCGGUGUUUGGCACCUCGAUGUCGGCUCAUCACAUCCUGGGGCUGAAGUAGGUCCCAAGGGUAUGGCUGUUCGCCAUUUAAAGUGGUACGCGAGCUGGGUUUAGAACGUCGUGAGACAGUUCGGUCCCUAUCUGCCGUGGGCGCUGGAGAACUGAGGGGGGCUGCUCCUAGUACGAGAGGACCGGAGUGGACGCAUCACUGGUGUUCGGGUUGUCAUGCCAAUGGCACUGCCCGGUAGCUAAAUGCGGAAGAGAUAAGUGCUGAAAGCAUCUAAGCACGAAACUUGCCCCGAGAUGAGUUCUCCCUGACUCCUUGAGAGUCCUGAAGGAACGUUGAAGACGACGACGUUGAUAGGCCGGGUGUGUAAGCGCAGCGAUGCGUUGAGCUAACCGGUACUAAUGAACCGUGAGGCUUAACCUU
Molecule: ribosomal RNA, 2900 nt
Filed under: Escherichia coli
Lineage: Bacteria; Pseudomonadati; Pseudomonadota; Gammaproteobacteria; Enterobacterales; Enterobacteriaceae
Description: bacterial LSU rRNA
Rfam family: Bacterial large subunit ribosomal RNA
Source: RNAcentral